Molecule: ribosomal RNA, 375 nt
Filed under: uncultured organism
Description: bacterial SSU rRNA
Rfam family: Bacterial small subunit ribosomal RNA
Source: RNAcentral
CGUAGGGUGCGAGCGUUGUCCGGAAUUAUUGGGCGUAAAGAGCUCGUAGGCGGUCUGUCGCGUCGGUCGUGAAAACUUGGGGCUUAACCCCGAGCUUGCGGUCGAUACGGGCAUGACUGGAGUUCGGCAGGGGAGACUGGAAUUCCUGGUGUAGCGGUGAAAUGCGCAGAUAUCAGGAGGAACACCGGUGGCGAAGGCGGGUCUCUGGGCCCGAUACUGACGCUGAGGAGCGAAAGCGUGGGGAGCGAACAGGAUUAGAUACCCUGGUAGUCCACGCCGUAAACGGUGGGCGCUAGGUGUGGGGGCCAUUCCACGGUCUCUGUGCCGCAGCUAACGCAUUAAGCGCCCCGCCUGGGGAGUACGGCCGCAAGGCUA